GAUGAACGCUGGCGGCGUGCUUAACACAUGCAAGUCGAGCGAAGCACUUUACUUGGAAUUCUUCGGAAGGAAAAGUUUUGUGACUGAGCGGCGGACGGGUGAGUAACGCGUGGGUAACCUGCCUCAUACAGGGGGAUAACAGCUAGAAAUGGCUGCUAAUACCGCAUAAGACCACAGUACCGCAUGGUACGGUGGGAAAAACUCCGGUGGUAUGAGAUGGACCCGCGUCUGAUUAGCUAGUUGGUAAGGUAACGGCUUACCAAGGCGACGAUCAGUAGCCGACCUGAGAGGGUGACCGGCCACAUUGGGACUGAGACACGGCCCAAACUCCUACGGGAGGCAGCAGUGGGGAAUAUUGCACAAUGGGGGAAACCCUGAUGCAGCGACGCCGCGUGAAGGAUGAAGUAUUUCGGUAUGUAAACUUCUAUCAGCAGGGAAGAAAAUGACGGUACCUGACUAAGAAGCCCCGGCUAACUACGUGCCAGCCGCCGCCGUAACAC
This 500-nucleotide ribosomal RNA is filed under the name uncultured bacterium. RNAcentral describes it as "bacterial SSU rRNA". It matches the Rfam family "Bacterial small subunit ribosomal RNA", at positions 28 to 526 of the family's 1533-position model. The record is from RNAcentral.